UGGGGAAUAUUGCACAAUGGAGGGAACUCUGAUGCAGCGACGCCGCGUGAGUGAUGAAGGAAUUCGUUUCGUAAAACUCUGUUCUAUGGGAAGAAAAGGACUGUACCAUAGGAGAAAGCUCCGGCUAAAUACGUGCCAGCAGCCGCGGUAAUACGUAUGGAGCGAGCGUUGUCCGGAAUUAUUGGGCGUAAAGGGUGCGCAGGCGGCUUUACAAGUUGGAUGUGAAAUAUUGUGGCUCAACCACAAACGUGCAUCCAAAACUGCAAAGCUUGAGUUAAGGAGAGGUAAGUGGAAUUCCUGGUGUAGCGGUGGAAUGCGUAGAUAUCAGGAGGAAUACCGGUGGCGAAGGCGACUUACUGGACUUAAACUGACGCUAAGGCACGAAAGCGUGGGGAGCAAACAGG
This 404-nucleotide ribosomal RNA is filed under the name Fusobacteriota bacterium. Its description in RNAcentral is "Fusobacteria bacterium partial 16S ribosomal RNA". It matches the Rfam family "Bacterial small subunit ribosomal RNA", at positions 355 to 776 of the family's 1533-position model. Lineage: Bacteria; Fusobacteriati; Fusobacteriota. The record is from RNAcentral.